AUGCUCUUCUGGAUACUGGUCAUGAGCUUGGCUGCAGCUGUUACAGGCAUCCGUUCCCCAAUAAAAAUGGUGGCAUCUGGUCCCAAGGAGGGGAAGGUCUCUGGAUCGCUCCCACUCACCUGUACUAUAGUGGGAGCCCCUCUGGACAGCCCUCGCUACGACUGGAAUUGUGUCCGUCAGACCCCAGGAGGGAAGCUGCAAUUUCUAGGCUGGAUCUACCCUUUUGGGAACAACAUAGGCUACGCCCCAGCCUUCCAAAGCCGAGUAACCAUCUCUGCAGACAAAGACAGGAGCAAGGUCACCCUGCAGCUGCGGGCCCUCACUGCCGCAGACACGGGCACUUAUUUCUGCGCCAGGCAGCACACCGGGAUGCCAGAGGAGGGAGGGGCAGCGCAAAAACGGGGAGGGAUGCUGAGGUGA
This is a non-coding RNA of Apaloderma vittatum (bar-tailed trogon), 420 nucleotides long. Lineage: Eukaryota; Metazoa; Chordata; Aves; Trogoniformes; Trogonidae. The record is from the annotation of a RefSeq genome assembly.